UGGGGAAUAUUGCACAAUGGGCGCAAGCCUGAUGCAGCCAUGCCGCGUGUGUGAAGAAGGCCUUCGGGUUGUAAAGCACUUUCAGCGGGGAGGAAGGCGUUAAGGUUAAUAACCUUGGCGAUUGACGUUACCCGCAGAAGAAGCACCGGCUAACUCCGUGCCAGCAGCCGCGGUAAUACGGAGGGUGCAAGCGUUAAUCGGAAUUACUGGGCGUAAAGCGCACGCAGGCGGUCUGUCAAGUCGGAUGUGAAAUCCCCGGGCUCAACCUGGGAACUUCAUUCGAAACUGGCGGGCUAGAGUCUUGUAGAGGGGGGUAGAAUUCCAGGUGUAGCGGUGAAAUGCGUAGGGAUCUGGAGGAAUACCGGUGGCGAAGGCGGCCCCCUGGACAAAGACUGACGCUCAGGUGCGAAAGCGUGGGGAGCAAACAGG
RNAcentral lists this ribosomal RNA (429 nucleotides) under Chloroflexota bacterium. Its description in RNAcentral is "Chloroflexi bacterium partial 16S ribosomal RNA". It matches the Rfam family "Bacterial small subunit ribosomal RNA", at positions 355 to 776 of the family's 1533-position model. The record is from RNAcentral. Lineage: Bacteria; Bacillati; Chloroflexota.